GACGAACGCUGGCGGCGUGCUUAACACAUGCAAGUCGAACGGAAAGGCCCUGCUUUUGUGGGGUUCUCGAGUGGCGAACGUGUGAGUAACACGUGAGUCACCUGCCCUUGACUUUGGGAUAACUUCAGGAAACUGGUGCUAAUACCUGAUAGGAGCUCCUGCUGCAUGGUGGUGUUUGGAAAGUUUCGGCGGGUGGGGAUGUACUCGCGGGUUAUCAGCUUGUUGGUGGGGUAGUGGCUUACCAAGGCUUUGACGGGUAGCCGGCCUGAGAGGGUGACCGGCCACAUUGGGACUGAGAGACGGCGCAGACUCCUACGGGAGGCAGUAGGGGGGAAUAUUGCACAAUGGGCGGAAGCCUGAUGCAGAAAUGCCGCGAGCGGGAUGAAGGCCUUGGGGUGGUAAACCGCAGUAGCCUGUGACGAAGCGUGAGUGACGGUAAUGGGUAAAGAAGCACCGGCUAACUACGUG
Molecule: ribosomal RNA, 468 nt
Filed under: uncultured bacterium
Lineage: Bacteria
Description: partial 16S ribosomal RNA
Rfam family: Bacterial small subunit ribosomal RNA
Source: RNAcentral